UACAUGGGGUGCAAACGUUGCUCGGAAUCAUUGGGCGUAAAGCGCGCGUAGGCGGUUACUUAAGUCGGAUGUGAAAGCCCUCGGCUUAACUGAGGAAGUGCAUCCGAAACUGAGUAGCUAGAGUACGAAAGAGGGUCGCGGAAUUCCCGGUGUAGAGGUGAAAUUCGUAGAUAUCGGGAGGAACACCGGUGGCGAAGGCGGCGACCUGGGUCGACACUGACGCUGAGGCGCGAAAGCGUGGGGAGCAAACAGG
This 253-nucleotide ribosomal RNA is filed under the name uncultured bacterium. Its description in RNAcentral is "partial 16S ribosomal RNA". It matches the Rfam family "Bacterial small subunit ribosomal RNA", at positions 524 to 776 of the family's 1533-position model. The record is from RNAcentral.